AUGUACUCUUGAGCAGAGACCGGCGGUAAUGAACUGAUCCAAGGAAUGAGCUAAGAAUCACGCCUAACUGGGAAAUGGGAAAUUACUAGUGCGUGUUGAGUGGGAAGUACCUGAGGAACGGUGGGAAACUGCUGUUAAAAGGUGUCAAAAGAAAUUUGCUUGGAAAUUACAAAAGAGGAAGUGACAAGGAAAUAGGGGGCAAGACCAGACUGACCACUACAACUCGCCACCGAGAAGAAUAUAAAACACCUGCUGUGAGCUGCAACCUCAUAGGCAGGAUUGGUGGGGGUGUAAGCCAUACUGGACCCCUAUUAUUCCUUCUUCUGUCACUUAUCCUUCUCCCUUUUGGGACACCAGCAAAGCCAUGUUACAAAUGCUAUCAAAAGCUUUACAUGGAAUGACACCGGGGUUUCUUUCUUAUUACCCACACCAGUAUCAAUAAUCACUGCUAUAACCCAUCCAAAUUAAGUACCUGUAUGCAUAAAGGGAAAAUAUUAGACCACAGAAAAUCUAGGAACAAGUAGUAACAGAUUAGAAAACAACUGCCCAAAAAA
This is a non-coding RNA of Cyanistes caeruleus (blue tit), 554 nucleotides long. NCBI's taxonomy places the organism in Eukaryota, Metazoa, Chordata, Aves, Passeriformes, Paridae. The record is from RefSeq and is a predicted model, not a curated record.